UGAAUUUCCAGUUGGUUAACCAAGAAUUUUGAAAAGUGCUCUGAGUUUCAUGAAGGCAAUGUGGGCUGGAAGCAUCUGGUUAGCAAAAAAGGUAGAGAAGAGCCACUAAAGAAGAUCUCCUCAGGAUGCUUGAACUAUCAUCUUUGCGUGGAAGAUAGUAUAUGGAUUGAGGAAGGAUAAAGCUU
This 185-nucleotide long non-coding RNA is filed under the name Chinchilla lanigera (long-tailed chinchilla). RNAcentral's name for it is "lncRNA (ENSCLAG00000023684.1)". The record is from RNAcentral. Lineage: Eukaryota; Metazoa; Chordata; Mammalia; Rodentia; Chinchillidae.